AACAGGAUUAGAUACCCUGGUAGUCCACGCUGUAAACGAUGUCGACUUGGAGGUUGUGCCCUUGAGGCGUGGCUUCCGGAGCUAACGCGUUAAGUCGACCGCCUGGGGAGUACGGCCGCAAGGUUAAAACUCAAAUGAAUUGACGGGGGCCCGCACAAGCGGUGGAGCAUGUGGUUUAAUUCGAUGCAACGCGAAGAACCUUACCUACUCUUGACAUCCAGAGAAUUUGCUAGAGAUAGCUUAGUGCCUUCGGGAACUCUGAGACAGGUGCUGCAUGGCUGUCGUCAGCUCGUGUUGUGAAAUGUUGGGUUAAGUCCCGCAACGAGCGCAACCCUUAUCCUUUGUUGCCAGCACGUAGUGGUGGGAACUCAAAGGAGACUGCCGGUGAUAAACCGGAGGAAGGUGGGGAUGACGUCAAGUCAUCAUGGCCCUUACGAGUAGGGCUACACACGUGCUACAAUGGCAUAUACAAAGAGAAGCGAACUCGCGAGAGCAAGCGGACCUCAUAAAGUAUGUCGUAGUCCGGAUUGGAGUCUGCAACUCGACUCCAUGAAGUCGGAAUCGCUAGUAAUCGUAGAUCAGAAUGCUACGGUGAAUACGUUCCCGGGCCUUGUACACACCGCCCGUCACACCAUGGGAGUGGGUUGCAAAAGAAGUAGGUAGCUUAACCUUCGGGAGGGCGCUUACCACUUUGUGAUUCAUGACUGGGGUGAAGUCGUAACAAGGUAACC
Molecule: ribosomal RNA, 731 nt
Filed under: uncultured bacterium
Lineage: Bacteria
Description: bacterial SSU rRNA
Rfam family: Bacterial small subunit ribosomal RNA
Source: RNAcentral